RNAcentral lists this ribosomal RNA (468 nucleotides) under uncultured bacterium. Its description in RNAcentral is "partial 16S ribosomal RNA". It matches the Rfam family "Bacterial small subunit ribosomal RNA", at positions 28 to 507 of the family's 1533-position model. The record is from RNAcentral.
GACGAACGCUGGCGGCGUGCUUAACACAUGCAAGUCGAACGGAAAGGCCCUUCCUUUGUUGUGUUCGCGAGUUGCGAACGUGUGAGUAACACGAGAGUAACGUGCCCGUGACUUUGGGAUAAUGGCAGUAAACUUGGGCUAAUACCUGAUAUGAGCGCCUGCUGCAUGGGGGGGGUUGGGAAGUUUCGGCGGUUGGUGAUGGACUCGGGGCUGAGCGGCUUGUUGGUGGGGUAGUGGCUUGCGAAGUCUUUGACUGGUAGCGGGCCUGGUAGGGUGGCCGGACACACUGGGCCUGAUAUACCGCCCAGCAUCCUACGGGAGGAAGCAGUGGGGAAUGUUGCACAGUGGGCGGGAGGCUGAUGCAGCAACGACGGGUGCGGGAUGAUGGCCUUCGGUUUGUAGCGCGCUUGCCGCUGGGAUGGAGCGUGAGUGACGGUAAUGGGUGAAGAAGCACCGGCUAACUACGUG